UUGUCAAGACAAUCGCGGCUGGCGCUUGACGCCAGAUGAGGAAAGUCCGGGCUCCACAGGGCAGUGUGCUGGAUAACGUCCAGCGAGGGUGACCUUAGGGAAAGUGCCAUAGAGAUUUAGACCGCCUGCUUGUCAGGUAAGGGUGGAAAGGUGCGGUAAGAGCGCACCAGCAGUCAGGUGACUGGCUGGCUUGGGUAAACCCCACACGGAGCAAGACCAAAUAGGGAAGUUGAGCCGGCAGGCAACUGCCGUGCCUAGAUAAAUGAUUGUCACCGCGCAAGCGGAACAAAACUCGGCUUAUUGAUUG
Molecule: RNase P RNA, 307 nt
Filed under: uncultured Selenomonas sp.
Lineage: Bacteria; Bacillati; Bacillota; Negativicutes; Selenomonadales; Selenomonadaceae
Description: Bacterial RNase P class A
Rfam family: Bacterial RNase P class A
About the family: Ribonuclease P (RNase P) is a ubiquitous endoribonuclease, found in archaea, bacteria and eukarya as well as chloroplasts and mitochondria.
Source: RNAcentral